CAGUGAAUCAUCGAAUCUUUGAACGCACCUUGCGCUCCUUGGUAUUCCGAGGAGCAUGCCUGUUUGAGUGUCAUUAAAUUCUCAACCCCUCCAGCUUUUGCGAGUUGUGAUGGGGCUUGGAUCUGGGAGUUUGCGGGUCUUUAUCAAUAAAGGUCAGCUCUCCUGAAAUGCAUUAGCGGAACCGUUUGCAGUCCCGUCACUAGUGUGAUAAUUAUCUACACUGUGAUGAUUGCUCUCUGACUAGUUCAGCUGCUAAUCGUCCACUAUGGACAACACUUAAUGAACUUCUUGACCUCAAAUCAGGUAGGACUACCCGCUGAACUUAAGCAUAUCAAUAAGCGGAGGAAAAGAAACUAACAAGGAUUCCCCUAGUAACUGCGAGUGAAGCGGGAAAAGCUCAAAUUUAAAAUCUGGCGGUCUCUGGCCGUCCGAGUUGUAAUCUAGAGAAGUGAUGCCCGCGCUGGACCGUGUACAAGUCUCCUGGAAUGGAGCGUCAUAGAGGGUGAGAAUCCCGUCUCUGACACGGACUACCAGGGCUUUGUGGUAUCCUCUCAAAGAGUCGAGUUGUUUGGGAAUGCAGCUCUAAAUGGGUGGUAAAUUCCAUCUAAAGCUAAAUAUUGGCGAGAGACCGAUAGCGAACAAGUACCGUGAGGGAAAGAUGAAAAGAACUUUGGAAAGAGAGUUAAACAGUACGUGAAAUUGCUGAAAGGGAAACGCUUGAAGUCAGUCGCGUUGGCCAGGAAUCAGCCUCACUCUUGUGUGGUGUACUUUCUGGUUGACGGGUCAGCAUCAAUUUUGACUGCUGGAAAAAGGCUUAGGGAAUGUGGCAGCUUCGGCUGUGUUAUAGCCCUUUGUCACAUACAGCGGUUGGGAUUGAGGAACUCAGCACGCCGCAAGGCCGGGUUUCGACCACGUUCGUGCUUAGGAUGCUGGCAUAAUGGCUUUAAGCGACCCGUCUUGAAACACGGACCAAGGAGUCUAACAUGCCUGCGAGUGUUUGGGUGGUAAACCCGAGCGCGUAAUGAAAGUGAAAGUUGAGAUCCCUGUCGUGGGGAGCAUCGACGCCCGGACCUGAACUUUUGUGACGGAUCCGCGGUAGAGCAUGUAUGUUGGGACCCGAAAGAUGGUGAACUAUGCCUGAAUAGGGUGAAGCCAGAGGAAACUCUGGUGGAGGCUCGUAGCGAUUCUGACGUGCAAAUCGAUCGUCAAAUUUGGGUAUAGGGGCGAAAGACUAAUCGAACCAUC
RNAcentral lists this ribosomal RNA (1245 nucleotides) under Utraria cf. decipiens MJ6150. RNAcentral's name for it is "eukaryotic LSU rRNA". The stretch from base 290 to 1245 matches the Rfam family "Eukaryotic large subunit ribosomal RNA", at positions 1 to 944 of the family's 3401-position model. The record is from RNAcentral. Lineage: Eukaryota; Fungi; Basidiomycota; Agaricomycetes; Agaricales; Lycoperdaceae.